GCACGCAAAAUUUCGUUUUUGUUCCGGAAACAUCGCUCGAUCUAUCUGACGUUUGUCGGGUAAAAAUAGAAUUAAUCGCUUACGAGUGCGCAACAGACAAAAAAACUAAAAACAGAAAAAUUAACCUUAUUAGUCGCUAUUUUGUGAAUUGCAUAAUUUUCCACGAUGAUACGGCACUAUUGUAAUUUACCUAAUUAAGAGCUGAUACAUUUAACAUCUUACUGCGCGAGUCUUAUUGGAAUAUUGCGCCAUGUUUCAUUAGGUAUUACGUAAAAGGGAAAAUUUUCUUGUUUCUCUCUUGUCAUCGCGCCUCCAUGCGCGGAUUAAUUAUUUUUAGUUUCACUUCAAUUUUUACAAACACGAAACCUAACGCAAUUCCGUCUAACACGAUACUACCGUGUACACGCGUAUACGUUUCUCUAAUUAGUCGCUUUUUUCGCCGCGACGAUGGUGCGGAAAAACCAGUCGCAGAGAAUGAAAAUAGACGACUCCGUAGGAGUUGCGGGAAGAAAGUGACACCGCAAGGACAACGACCGUGCAAAGUCCCCCCGCGAACAUUGUGCGGAGGAACUGGUUUUAAUGACUCACACUAGUCUGGUAUAUGAUCGAGAAUUACGCUACCUGCGAGAAACUCUCUCAGUUCCUUGAAACCUUGUGCGACGACCUCCGGCGUUUCCCGUAAUUCCUCCU
This is a long non-coding RNA of Wasmannia auropunctata (little fire ant), 690 nucleotides long. RefSeq lists it as uncharacterized. The record is from RefSeq and is a predicted model, not a curated record. The transcript is spliced from 3 exons. Lineage: Eukaryota; Metazoa; Arthropoda; Insecta; Hymenoptera; Formicidae.